This 377-nucleotide ribosomal RNA is filed under the name uncultured bacterium. Its description in RNAcentral is "bacterial SSU rRNA". It matches the Rfam family "Bacterial small subunit ribosomal RNA", at positions 523 to 898 of the family's 1533-position model. The record is from RNAcentral.
AUACGUAGGGGGCAAGCGUUGUCCGGAAUCAUUGGGCGUAAAGGGCGCGUAGGCGGAUAUUUAAGUCUGAUGUGAAAACCUAGGGCUCAACCUUGGGACUGCAUCGGAAACUGGGUAUCUUGAGGACAGGAGAGGAAAGUGGAAUUCCACGUGUAGCGGUGAAAUGCGUAGAUAUGUGGAGGAACACCAGUGGCGAAGGCGACUUUCUGGACUGUAACUGACGCUGAGGCGCGAAAGCGUGGGGAGCAAACAGGGUUAGAUACCCUGGUAGUCCACGCCGUAAACGAUGAGUGCUAGGUGUAGAGGGUAUCGACCCCUUCUGUGCCGCAGUAAACACAAUAAGCACUCCGCCUGGGGAGUACGGCCGCAAGGCUGAA